GAUGAACGCUGGCGGCGUGCCUAAUACAUGCAAGUCGAGCGAACGGACGAGAAGCUUGCUUCUCUGAUGUUAGCGGCGGACGGGUGAGUAACACGUGGAUAACCUACCUAUAAGACUGGGAUAACUUCGGGAAACCGUAGCUAAUACCGGAUAAUAUUUUGAACCGCAUGGUUCAAAAGUGAAAGACGGUCUUGCUGUCACUUAUAGAUGGAUCCGCGCUGCAUUAGCUAGUUGGUAAGGUAACGGCUUACCAAGGCAACGAUGCAUAGCCGACCUGAGAGGGUGAUCGGCCACACUGGAACUGAGACACGGUCCAGACUCCUACGGGAGGCAGCAGUAGGGAAUCUUCCGCAAUGGGCGAAGGCCUGACGGAGCAACGCCGCGUGAGUGAUGAAGGUCUUCGGAUCGUAAAACUCUGUUAUUAGGGAAGAACAUAUGUGUAAGUAACUGUGCACAUCUUGACGGUACCUAAUCAGAAAGCCACGGCUAAGUACGUG
This 497-nucleotide ribosomal RNA is filed under the name uncultured bacterium. Its description in RNAcentral is "partial 16S ribosomal RNA". It matches the Rfam family "Bacterial small subunit ribosomal RNA", at positions 28 to 507 of the family's 1533-position model. The record is from RNAcentral.